This 1394-nucleotide ribosomal RNA is filed under the name Limosilactobacillus fermentum. Its description in RNAcentral is "bacterial SSU rRNA". It matches the Rfam family "Bacterial small subunit ribosomal RNA". Lineage: Bacteria; Bacillati; Bacillota; Bacilli; Lactobacillales; Lactobacillaceae. The record is from RNAcentral.
GUCGAACGCGUUGGCCCAAUUGAUUGAUGGUGCUUGCACCUGAUUGAUUUUGGUCGCCAACGAGUGGCGGACGGGUGAGUAACACGUAGGUAACCUGCCCAGAAGCGGGGGACAACAUUUGGAAACAGAUGCUAAUACCGCAUAACAGCGUUGUUCGCAUGAACAACGCUUAAAAGAUGGCUUCUCGCUAUCACUUCUGGAUGGACCUGCGGUGCAUUAGCUUGUUGGUGGGGUAACGGCCUACCAAGGCGAUGAUGCAUAGCCGAGUUGAGAGACUGAUCGGCCACAAUGGGACUGAGACACGGCCCAUACUCCUACGGGAGGCAGCAGUAGGGAAUCUUCCACAAUGGGCGCAAGCCUGAUGGAGCAACACCGCGUGAGUGAAGAAGGGUUUCGGCUCGUAAAGCUCUGUUGUUAAAGAAGAACACGUAUGAGAGUAACUGUUCAUACGUUGACGGUAUUUAACCAGAAAGUCACGGCUAACUACGUGCCAGCAGCCGCGGUAAUACGUAGGUGGCAAGCGUUAUCCGGAUUUAUUGGGCGUAAAGAGAGUGCAGGCGGUUUUCUAAGUCUGAUGUGAAAGCCUUCGGCUUAACCGGAGAAGUGCAUCGGAAACUGGAUAACUUGAGUGCAGAAGAGGGUAGUGGAACUCCAUGUGUAGCGGUGGAAUGCGUAGAUAUAUGGAAGAACACCAGUGGCGAAGGCGGCUACCUGGUCUGCAACUGACGCUGAGACUCGAAAGCAUGGGUAGCGAACAGGAUUAGAUACCCUGGUAGUCCAUGCCGUAAACGAUGAGUGCUAGGUGUUGGAGGGUUUCCGCCCUUCAGUGCCGGAGCUAACGCAUUAAGCACUCCGCCUGGGGAGUACGACCGCAAGGUUGAAACUCAAAGGAAUUGACGGGGGCCCGCACAAGCGGUGGAGCAUGUGGUUUAAUUCGAAGCUACGCGAAGAACCUUACCAGGUCUUGACAUCUUGCGCCAACCCUAGAGAUAGGGCGUUUCCUUCGGGAACGCAAUGACAGGUGGUGCAUGGUCGUCGUCAGCUCGUGUCGUGAGAUGUUGGGUUAAGUCCCGCAACGAGCGCAACCCUUGUUACUAGUUGCCAGCAUUAAGUUGGGCACUCUAGUGAGACUGCCGGUGACAAACCGGAGGAAGGUGGGGACGACGUCAGAUCAUCAUGCCCCUUAUGACCUGGGCUACACACGUGCUACAAUGGACGGUACAACGAGUCGCGAACUCGCGAGGGCAAGCAAAUCUCUUAAAACCGUUCUCAGUUCGGACUGCAGGCUGCAACUCGCCUGCACGAAGUCGGAAUCGCUAGUAAUCGCGGAUCAGCAUGCCGCGGUGAAUACGUUCCCGGGCCUUGUACACACCGCCCGUCACACCAUGAGAGUU